GUUCAAUUCAUCAAUAACGCAUGACACAUCUACUACUCGGUGAUUUAUUUGCCACAUUCUUUUGUUUCUGCAUUCUUCAAUUCAUCCCUGGGACGCAAGUUUGAGCAGCCGCUGUGAUUUCUCCACCAUCGGUCUCUCUAACCUACAAUUUUGCCCACGUGUGUUUCCCUCUGUCGUGGUUGUUGAUGCUGCGGAGAGCGAACUGAUAUUAUCUGACCUCUAUCUUAGUUCCUAACCAAUCACCACAAUCGCAUGUUGCUUCUUCUUCCUUCUUUCCAUUUCUAUUUUGAUCUUUCGAAUUUCAUAAUUCACAUCCAUUUGUUCUUUGCAUUUCAAGCGGCGAUGACCUUCGGAAGCGUUAUCUUCUUCGACACCGGUAUGAACCCUUAGUUCAAUGCCUUAUUUCUGCAUUUUGAUUUGCAUGUCGCUGAUUUUGUUUCGCAGUGACUGAUGGACAGGAAAUGGAGUAAUGAGGGUUUUGUGGUUCUUGAACAAUGGGGUUUGAUUAUUUGUUGUUCAAGUGAUGAAGCGAAGAAGUGACAGUGGCAGGUUUAGUGGUUAUAAGGGUAUUGCAGGGAGGGGAAAUGAAAGGAAGGGAGUUUGACAAUCCCACCUCAUUCAACUCUUCAUCUUCUUUCUAUUCAAGCUCAUGGUUUUCAAUUCCUACUGCAAUUAUUUUUUACCAUCAUUGUUGCAAAUUUGGGUUUUCAGAUGAUAAAUACUCCUGCUUAAGAUUCUUAUUUUAGAACAGUUGUUGUGUUAUUUCUGAAGCCAUAAAUCCUAGCAAAUAUGCUAAUUACCUUCCCCUUCAUUAGUGGUGAAGCUACUGUAGUUAAUUAAGAUUUAUGGGUUGGUUCUUCUGCAAAAUGUAGAGCUCAAUUCUGGGUUGGUUAUUCUGCAAAAUGUAGAGCUCAAUUCUGGGUUGGUUAUUCAGCGAAAUGUGGAACUCAAUUGGUGCAUUGCACAUUUUUUUCCCUUCUCUUACCAGUGAGAUAAUAUGCACUAUCUUCUAAAGUUUUAAAUUUUUUUUUUCUCCAGGUCUUCUACUUCUCCGGAUGUGACUCUUAUGGUAUUUUCCGGAAGGAGACCUCUACUGCCAUCGAUUUAACUGAUUUCAUGUUUAGAGAAGGUACAAAUAGAUGGCAUAUGGAGCUGCAGGUAUUAACCAGUUUAUUGUGGAGUCCCAAAGACUUUGCCACAAAGCAACAUAGUCUGCUUGAGGAGGUUACUCUGCUUUGGAUCCCAUUGAAUCUCAGAGAGUUGUUGAUCUCCUGAAUUCAGAGUUGUCUCCUUUCUCAAGUUGAAACCCAAGGAAUUAUGGAAACCAGUGGCUGUUGACACUUCUUGGUAUGAGGUUCUGGAUAGCUUUUGGCAAUUCAGGAGCAGGUGGUAUGAUUUCCUUCACUGUGGGGUCAAAGGGAUUGUUGAGGGCGUUAUUGUUGGCGAGCUUGAGGUAACUUCAGGAAUAUGGCCCAUAUAACAGAACAUACUUCAAUGGAGACAGUUUGUGCAUCUAAAGAGAAAGAUCAAAAUUCACUCAGAUCCAUUACUCAGAUGCAUAAAAAUUGUAGCUUUCAUAAUUUCUCAUAUAGUACUCCCUUUCAUUUGGCACACAUGUACAACUCAAUCCAUAAAUGAGAAAGUCUUAUGUAAUUUUUGGUAUGUCAAUUUUGUUUAAUACAUAAGAAGUAUGUACUCCGUGUUUGGAACUUUCAUAGGUAAAUUUUUGGGGUUGGCUGUUAUUUUGAUUUUGGAUUUUUAAAUUGGCAUUGUCCUAUAGACAUUAAAUUUUUAGUCCAAAAUAAACUCUUUACCCUUUUGGUUGUC
This is a long non-coding RNA of Lotus japonicus, 1827 nucleotides long. RefSeq lists it as uncharacterized. The transcript is spliced from 4 exons. Lineage: Eukaryota; Viridiplantae; Streptophyta; Magnoliopsida; Fabales; Fabaceae. The record is from RefSeq and is a predicted model, not a curated record.